Molecule: ribosomal RNA, 372 nt
Filed under: uncultured bacterium
Lineage: Bacteria
Description: bacterial SSU rRNA
Rfam family: Bacterial small subunit ribosomal RNA
Source: RNAcentral
AACCCACGUUGUCAGUUACCAUCACGUAAAGGUGGGGACUCUGGCAAGACUGCCGGUGUAAACCGCGAGGAAGGUGUGGAUGACGUCAAAUCAGCACGGCCCUUACAUCCAGGGCUACACACGUGUUACAAUGGCCGGUACAGAGGGCAGCCACCGCGCGAGCGGGAGCCAAUCCCCAAAACCGGUCUCAGUUCGGAUUGGAGUCUGCAACUCGACUCCAUGAAGCUGGAUUCGCUAGUAAUCGCGCAUCAGCCACGGCGCGGUGAAUACGUUCCCGGGCCUUGUACACACCGCCCGUCAAGCCAUGGAAGCCGGGGGUACCUGAAGUCUGUUACCGCAAGGAGCGGCCUAGGGUAAAACUGGUGACUGGGG